Molecule: ribosomal RNA, 719 nt
Filed under: Lactobacillus sp. oral taxon 461
Lineage: Bacteria; Bacillati; Bacillota; Bacilli; Lactobacillales; Lactobacillaceae
Description: bacterial SSU rRNA
Rfam family: Bacterial small subunit ribosomal RNA
Source: RNAcentral
AAUGGACGCAAGUCUGAUGGAGCAACGCCGCGUGAGUGAAGAAGGUUUUCGGAUCGUAAAGCUCUGUUGUUGGUGAAGAAGGAUAGAGGUAGUAACUGGCCUUUAUUUGACGGUAAUCAACCAGAAAGUCACGGCUAACUACGUGCCAGCAGCCGCGGUAAUACGUUAGGUGGCAAGCGUUGUCCGGAUUUAUUGGGCGUAAAGCGAGCGCAGGCGGAAAAAUAAGUCUAAUGUGAAAGCCCUCGGCUUAACCGAGGAAUUGCAUCGGAAACUGUUUUUCUUGAGUGCAGAAGAGGAGAGUGGAACUCCAUGUGUAGCGGUGGAAUGCGUAGAUAUAUGGAAGAACACCAGUGGCGAAGGCGGCUCUCUGGUCUGCAACUGACGCUGAGGCUCGAAAGCAUGGGUAGCGAACAGGAUUAGAUACCCUGGUAGUCCAUGCCGUAAACGAUGAGUGCUAAGUGUUGGGAGGUUUCCGCCUCUCAGUGCUGCAGCUAACGCAUUAAGCACUCCGCCUGGGGAGUACGACCGCAAGGUUGAAACUCAAAGGAAUUGACGGGGGCCCGCACAAGCGGUGGAGCAUGUGGUUUAAUUCGAAGCAACGCGAAGAACCUUACCAGGUCUUGACAUCUAGCGCCAAUCGUAGAGAUACGAUGUUCCCUUCGGGGACGCUAAGACAGGUGGUGCAUGGCUGUCGUCAGCUCGUGUCGUGAGAUGUUGGG